Molecule: ribosomal RNA, 700 nt
Filed under: uncultured bacterium
Lineage: Bacteria
Description: bacterial SSU rRNA
Rfam family: Bacterial small subunit ribosomal RNA
Source: RNAcentral
AGAGUUUGAUCCUGGCUCAGGAUGAACGCUAGCGGCAGGCUUAACACAUGCAAGUCGAGGGGCAGCACGGGUAGCAGUACCUGGUGGCGACCGGCGCAAGGGUGCGUAACGCGUGAGCAACAUGCCCUAUACAGGGGGAUAAACCAGGGAAACUUGGACUAAUACCCCAUAGCAUUUAUUUAUGGCAUCAUGAAUAAAUUAAAGCUUCGGUGGUAUAGGAUUGGCUCGCGUGACAUUAGCUAGAUGGUGAGGUAACGGCUCACCAUGGCGACGAUGUCUAGGGGUUCUGAGAGGAAGGCCCCCCACACUGGGACUGAGACACGGCCCAGACUCCUACGGGAGGCAGCAGUGAGGAAUAUUGGACAAUGGAUGGAAAUCUGAUCCAGCCAUGCCGCGUGCAGGAAGACGGCCCUAUGGGUUGUAAACUGCUUUUAUACGGGAGCAAUAAGGUCUACGUGUAGACUGAUGAGAGUACCGUAUGAAUAAGCAUCGGCUAACUCCGUGCCAGCAGCCGCGGUAAUACGGAGGAUGCGAGCGUUAUCCGGAUUUAUUGGGUUUAAAGGGUGCGUAGGCGGCCUUGUAAGUCAGCGGUGAAAUUUUGCAGCUUAACUGUAGAAGUGCCGUUGAUACUGUGAGGCUAGGAUUUGGUUGCUGUGGGUGGAAUGUGUGGUGUAGCGGUGAAAUGCUUAGAGAUCACACA